ACGGAGGAUCCGAGCGUUAUCCGGAUUUAUUGGGUUUAAAGGGUGCGUAGGCGGAACAAUAAGUCAGUGGUGAAAGUUUGCAGCUCAACUGUAAAAUUGCCAUUGAAACUGUCGUUCUUGAGUACAAAUGAGGUAGGCGGAAUGUGUUGUGUAGCGGUGAAAUGCAUAGAUAUAACACAGAACACCAAUUGCGAAGGCAGCUUACUGGGAUGUAACUGACGCUGAGGCACGAAAGCGUGGGGAUCGAACAG
This 251-nucleotide ribosomal RNA is filed under the name uncultured prokaryote. RNAcentral describes it as "partial 16S rRNA". It matches the Rfam family "Bacterial small subunit ribosomal RNA", at positions 525 to 775 of the family's 1533-position model. The record is from RNAcentral.